RNAcentral lists this ribosomal RNA (465 nucleotides) under uncultured bacterium. RNAcentral's name for it is "partial 16S ribosomal RNA". It matches the Rfam family "Bacterial small subunit ribosomal RNA", at positions 28 to 507 of the family's 1533-position model. The record is from RNAcentral.
GACGAACGCUGGCGGCGUGCUUAACACAUGCAAGUCGAACGGAAAGGCCCUGCUUGCAGGGUACUCGAGUGGCGAACGGGUGAGUAACACGUGGGUGAUCUGCCCUGCACUUCGGGAUAAGCCUGGGAAACUGGGUCUAAUACCGGAUAGGAGCCAUUUUUAGUGUGAUGGUUGGAAAGUUUUUUCGGUGUAGGAUGAGCUCGCGGCCUAUCAGCUUGUUGGUGGGGUAAUGGCCUACCAAGGCGGCGACGGGUAGCCGGCCUGAGAGGGUGGACGGCCACAUUGGGACUGAGAUACGGCCCAGACUCCUACGGGAGGCAUCAGUGGGGAAUAUUGCACAAUGGGCGCAAGCCUGAUGCAGCGACGCCGCGUGGGGGAUGGCGGCCUUCGGGUUGUAAACUCCUUUCGCUAGGGACGAAGCUUUUUGUGACGGUACCUAGAUAAGAAGCACCGGCUAACUACGUG